UACGUAGGGUGCGAGCGUUAAUCGGAAUUACUGGGCGUAAAGAGUGCGUAGGCGGUUUCUCAAGUCCGCUGUGAAAUCCCCGGGCUCAACCUGGGAAUGGCAGUGGAAACUAGGAGACUUGAAUCUGGCAGAGGGGGGUGGAAUUCCACGUGUAGCAGUGAAAUGCGUAGAGAUGUGGAGGAACACCGAUGGCGAAGGCAGCCCCCUGGGCUGAGAUUGACGCUCAGGCACGAAAGCGUGGGGAGCAAACA
Molecule: ribosomal RNA, 251 nt
Filed under: uncultured bacterium
Lineage: Bacteria
Description: partial 16S ribosomal RNA
Rfam family: Bacterial small subunit ribosomal RNA
Source: RNAcentral